Molecule: unclassified non-coding RNA, 298 nt
Filed under: uncultured Mortierellales
Lineage: Eukaryota; Fungi; Mortierellomycota; Mortierellomycetes; Mortierellales
Description: sequence contains ITS2
Source: RNAcentral
AACACCUCGGCUUUCCCCCUCCUCUUCUCACGAAAUAGGGGGGGUGCAAGUUGGACUUGAGCAGUUUCCGAAACUCCCUUUGAAGAGGGGGUGUGCGGGAUGCUUAAAAUGCAGGUGCAGCUGGGAUUCCCAUUUUCAUUGUCCUUAGGCUACAAGCAUUUCUGCUUAAUCCGGUCAAACGGAUUAUACCUUUUUGCUGCAGUCAAACGAUAGUUUGGGUCCCUGAAACGCUGACUGAUGCAGGAUAUUUGACAGAUUUCGAUGGGGAGGGUUUCCUCCUUUUCAAUCUUGUUGUUCC